GGGGGGCAGGGCGGGGGCGCGGAGGGACAAUGGCCGGAAAGCUGCCGCCGCAGGCCUUUCCUCGGACACCCUGCCUGGCCCUUCCGACGGCGGCGGGCCCGGCUGCCCUGGGCGCGAAGACAGCGCCUGGUUGGCGGCUGGGGUGGGGGCAGGGCGCGGCUCUGCUGUCCUGGGACCGACACUCUCUCCUGCCAGGCGCUGAGGAUGGGUCGUCUUUAUCCCAUGGAGAACUGCCAGUGAGCUGAGGGGACCAGAGAGAGCAUGGGUGUGGUCCGUGUGUGACCUCAGCAGAUUCCUGACCUUCUCUGCACUUCAAUUUCCUUAUCUGGAACCUCCCCUUUCAAGGACCUGGCGCAGAGAGGACUCCCCUCCCUGUCCCACCACAGCUUAGUGAGGUCUUACAGCAAACUGGAUUGUGUUGGCCACUCUCAAGACUGAGACUGUUGGAGUUCCCGUCGUAGCUCAGUGGUUAACGAACCUGACUAGCAUCCAUGAGGACUCAGGUUCAAUCCCUGACCUCGCCCAGUGGGUUAAGGAUCUGGCAUUGCCGUGAGCUGUGGUGUAGGCCAGCAGCUACAGCUCUGAUUAGACCCCUAGCCUGGGAAUCUCCAUAUGCUGCUGGUGUGGCCCUAAAAAGACAAAAGACAAACAAACAAACAAAAAAUGAGACUGUUUUGGGGUGCUUAGGAGGGUUGCAGAAGGGUGUCAAGGUGGGCUGGGGGUGACCACCCACCUACCACACACCUACCACACACAAGGCUGCCCAGCUUGUCAAAUAGUAGCACCUUGAUGACAUUUCUGUGGUGGUGUCCCCAUGCCCCCUGCCCGGGAACACAGAUGUGCUUCCCCUCCCCACUACCCAGGCAGUGGCCACGUCCUGGGCAGUGCUUGUGUGCUGUCCUGCCAGGGUGGGUUGGUGAUGUCUCCUUGCGGGUAUCUGGGCAGACUGUGCUCCCCUCUCUUGGCCAGAAUGUACGAAGGAGGAAGACCAGGAAUGCAUGCCUCCCUCCUUUGUCCUCUCGCAGGGAGCAGUGCUGCUGGGCUGGGGCGGGAGGCUCCCUGAGUCAAGGAAACAACAGCCCUCUUUAUCCAGCACUUGGCCUGCCUGGCCCUAGGCUCUGCAUGCCAUUUGCCAUAGGCAGUGAGUUCUUCACUCUAGCUCCACAGCCGGUCCUGCUGCUUCCUCUUCGCAGAUGAGGAAAGGAGGCACAGAGCAUCUGGUACCUUUUUCCAGGUGCACAGCUGGUAGCUAGGGCUGUCAGGAUUUUAGUACAUGGGGUUGAGCCCUGAGCGGCCUCCUUGUACAGGGGGACAGCUGGCAUUUUCUCUGACAGAGCUGAGGUUCAGUUGUCUGACACGUGGGCAUGUCUGUCUAUCUCUCUGUCUCUGGCCAGUGGGUUGGAGUGUUGUCUGUGUUCCCAAGCAGGGGGCA
Molecule: non-coding RNA, 1432 nt
Organism: Sus scrofa (pig)
Lineage: Eukaryota; Metazoa; Chordata; Mammalia; Artiodactyla; Suidae
Source: RefSeq, a predicted model, not a curated record